UACGUAGGGGGCAAGCGUUGUCCGGAAUCAUUGGGCGUAAAGCGCGUGUAGGCGGCUCGAUAAGUCCGCUGUGAAAGUCCAGGGCUCAACCCUGGAAUGCCGGUGGAAACUGUCGAGCUAGAGUCCGGAAGAGGCGAGUGGAAUUCCUGGUGUAGCGGUGAAAUGCGCAGAUAUCAGGAGGAACACCGGUGGCGAAGGCGGAUCUCUGGGCCUGUUCUGACGCUGAGGCGCGAAAGCUAGGGGAGCGAACAGG
This 253-nucleotide ribosomal RNA is filed under the name uncultured bacterium. Its description in RNAcentral is "partial 16S ribosomal RNA". It matches the Rfam family "Bacterial small subunit ribosomal RNA", at positions 524 to 776 of the family's 1533-position model. The record is from RNAcentral.